GUGUCAGCCGCCGCGGUAAUACGGAGGGUGCAAGCGUUAUCCGGAUUCAUUGGGUUUAAAGGGUCCGCAGGCGGGAAAUUAAGUCAGUGGUGAAAGCCUACAGCUCAACUGUAGAAUUGCCGUUGAUACUGAUUUUCUUGAGUGUAGUUGAAGUGGGCGGAAUGUGUCAUGUAGCGGUGAAAUGCAUAGAUAUGACACAGAACACCGAUAGCGAAGGCAGCUCACUAAGCUAUUACUGACGCUCAGGGACGAAAGCGUGGGGAGCAAACAGGAUUAGAUACCCUGGUAGUCCACGCUGUAAACGAUGAUUACUAGUUAUUGGCGAUAUACGGUCAGUGACUAAGCGAAAGUGAUAAGUAAUCCACCUGGGGAGUACGGCCGCAAGGUUGAAACUUAAAUGAAUUGACGGGG
Molecule: ribosomal RNA, 411 nt
Filed under: uncultured prokaryote
Description: bacterial SSU rRNA
Rfam family: Bacterial small subunit ribosomal RNA
Source: RNAcentral